CUCCUGAUCCAGCUGGGCCAUCGGGAAGAAAGAUAGGGGGAUUGGAGAUGGACUUCUUGGAGGGUGGAGAUUCUUUUAAUUUUCUCCUCUCGGUUUCUUGUCCCCUCUUGGGUUGUAGAGAGAGAAAAGGAGGGAGGGGGUUGAAUGGCUGCUAUGCUGUGAUGUUGGAGUUGCUGCUUGGGUACUCACUUGAAGGGGAGAUGGUGGGAUGGGACUUUUAUUAAUUAGAUGGAGUGAAUUUCCCAUAAUGCCCCUACUUUCUCUUAUAGAGAGGUUCCUUUCUGAACAAAUUCUUUUCUUUACCUUGACUAUGAAGUGCCAUGGGAUGACCUUUUCCUAUUCGGCUCUUGCUUGACAUGGUAAACAGUAUUGCCAAGCAUUAUCUCAGUUAUUUAAUCAGUUUCAUGGCCCCUUUUUUAGAGAAAUUACUUUUAUGUGCUUUCAUUUAAGAAUUAUAUUAAAUUGAAAAGGCUUCUUAUCUAUCUUUGUUAGAUUCAUGUAUCUUUGUUGAAAUAGUGUACUUGAUAGCUAUCCAUUCCCAUAUCA
This 546-nucleotide long non-coding RNA is filed under the name Phoenix dactylifera (date palm). RNAcentral describes it as "long non-coding RNA (PDAC_LNC020812)". Lineage: Eukaryota; Viridiplantae; Streptophyta; Magnoliopsida; Arecales; Arecaceae. The record is from RNAcentral.